UUUAUUUUAUAUAGCCCUUCGUACAUCAGCUAAUAUUUCGAAGUGCUGUACAGAAACCCAGCCUAAAACCCCAAACAGCAAGCAAUGCAGGUGUAGAAGCACGGUGGCUAGGAAAAACUCCCUAGAAAGGCCAAAACCUAGGAAGAAACCUAGAGAGGAACCAGGCUAUGAGGGGUGGCCAGUCCUCUUCUGGCUGUGCCGGGUGGAGAUUAUAACAGAACUAUGCCAAGAUGUUCAAAAAUGUUCAUAAGUGACAAGCAUGGUCAAAUAAUAAUCAUGAAUAAUUUUCAGUUGGCUUUUCAUAGCCGAUCAUUAAGAGUUGAAAAACAACAGGUCUGGGACAGGUGGCGGUUCCAUAACUGCAGGCAGAACAGUUGAAACUGGAAUAGCAGCAAGGCCAGGCGGACUGGGGACAGCAAGGAGUCAUCAUGCCCGGUAGUCCUGACGUAUGGUCCUAGGGCUCAGGUCCUCCGAGAGAAAGAAAGAGAGAAGGAGAAAAUUAGAGAGAGCCAAGAUUUUCAAAAUGUUCAUAAAUGACAAGCAUGGUCAAAUAAUAAUCAGGAAUAAAUGUCAGUUGGCUUUUCAUAGCCGAUCAUUAGGAGUUGAAAACAGCAGGUCUGGGACAGGUAGGGGUUCCGUAACCGCAGGCAGAACAGUUGAAACUGGAAUAGCAGCAAGGCCAGGCGGACUGGGGACAGCAAGGAGUCAUCAUGCCCGGUAGUCCUGACGUAUGGUCCUAGGGCUCAGGUUCUCAGAGAGGUAAACGAGCAUAACGUCAGGUAAACGAGCGUAGAUAGCUUGUAAAUCAAGCUAGUUAUAGCUAGAAGUCAACAGGGUUGGGUAGGUUACUUUCUAAAUGUAAUCCAUUACAGUUACCUGUCCAAAAUUGUAAUCAGUAACGUAACUUUUGGAUUACCCAAACUCAGUGACUUAACCUGAUUACAUUCAGUUACAGGCAGGGGUUCAGUGAACUGGUCCGUGUCCAAACAGUACAAGGGGAUAGGCAGGCUCGAGGUCAGAAAAGGCAGAGAGGUCAGGCAGGCAGAUUCGGUGUCAGGACAGGCAAGGGUCAAAACCAAGAUGUCUAGAAACAAACAAGAGACUGGGGAAAAAAUAGGCACUAGGAGAACCGCUGGUUGACUUGGGAAAACAAGACAAACCUGCACAGAGAGACAGGAAACACAGGGAUAAAUACACCAGGGACUAAAGGGGAAAACAGGAGACACCUGGAGGUGGGUGGAGACAAUCACAAAGACAGGUGAAACAGAUCAGGGCGUGACAGACAUAGCUUGGACUGUAGCCUACAAAAGCCUAUUGCUGUUUUUUUUUUUAUCCCACGGAUGAUCCAACACAUUUGGUAUGUGUCAUCAUAGUGGUCAGACUCGCGCAGGUGGAACAAACUUAAGCCUUUUUUCAAUGUUCAUUUGAACCUCAUUGAGAAGUGUCAAAGAUUUUUUUUCACAAACAUCCUUUCUGAAUUUAAAAGUUAUCCUUGAAGUAAUCUUGUUUUUCAAAAGUAUCUGUAAUCUGAUGACAAUAUUUUUGCUGGUAACGUAACUGAUUACAGUUAUUUAUUUAUUUUUUACAUGUCAUCCGUUGCUCCCCAACCCUGAGAGUCCCAGUAGUUCUUGUUGCUAAUCUUAUUGUUGCUUCUGUUUUUUCUGGCAGCGUUUAACAGGUGCAAAGAAUUCCCCCAGCAGGGACGAGCACGUCCCAGUCCAGAGUGCAUUCAAGGAUAAACAGCGGGAUGACAUCUACAACCUGAAGGAAACGAUAAACCGUGCAGGAAAGGAGUGAUGAUGCAAAGGUAUACGUGGACCUGCGGAAGGAAGCUGAAGGUUCCGACAAUGAAAACAAAAUUCACAACGAUUUAAAGGCAAUGUUUCUAUCAUUGCAAUUUCACAAAUGUAUGUUAUAGCUGAAAUGUGACAUUUUACUUGUUACAGAGACGAUGCUCUCCUCUUAUAGAGUUGAACUUUUCUUUUGUGGCUGAAAAUAUCUUGUUUCCCCACAGAUCAACCGAAGGUAGCUUUUUCAGUUGGACUUUAUGAAGUUUGUAUCUUAUUAUACAGUGUAUUCAGACCGAUUUACUUUUUCCACAUAUUGUUAUGUUACAGCCUUAUUUUAAAAUGUAAAAACUGUAAAUAAAAAAAUCCCUCAUCAAUCUACAUACAAUACCCCAUAAUGACAAAACAAAAACAGGUUUUUAGACAUGUUUUACGGAAAUAUUACGUUUACAGAAGUAUUCAGACCUUUUACUCAGUACUUUGUUGACGCACCUUUGGCAGCGAUUACAGCCUCGAGUCUUCGUGGGUGUGACGCUACAAGCUUGGUACACCUGUGUUUGGGGAGUUUCUACCACUCUUCUCUGCAGAUCCUUUCAACCUCUGUCAGGUCGGAUGGGGAGCGUUGCUGCACAGUUAUUUUCAGGUCUCUCCAGAGAUGUUCGAUCAGGUUCAAGUGCAGGCUCUGGCUGGGCCACUCAAGGACAUUCGGUCCUGCAGAAAUGUUUUGUUACCCUUCCCUAGAUCUGUGCAUCGACACAAUCCUGUCUCGGAGCUCUACAGACAAUUCCUUCGACCUUGUGGCUUGGUUUUUGCUCUGACAUGCACUGUCAACUGUGGGACCUUAUACAAACAAGUGUGUGUGCCUUUCCAAAUCCUGUCCAAUCAAUUGACUUUACCACAGGUGGACUCCAAUCAAGUUGUAGAAACAUCUCAAGGAUGAUCCAUGGAAACAGGAUGCACAUUAGUAUAAUUUCGAGUCUCAUAGCAAAGGGUCUGAAUACUUAUGUAAAUAAGGUAUUUCUGUCUUUUGCCUUUGAAUACAUUGCAAAAAUGUCUAAAUGCCUUUUUUCACUUUGCCAUUAUGGGGUAUUGUGUGUAGCUUUAUGUGGAAAACAAAUAUUAAAUAGAUUUUAGAGUAAGGCUGUAACGUAACAAAAUGUGAAAAAAGUAAAUUGGUCUGAAUGCGCUGUACCUAGUUUCAGUUCCUGUUUUACCAAAGGUAUAUUUUUCAGUUAGACUUGAUGGUGGGACUCUUGGACCCUAUGGCACCACUAUCACCUUAGUCACAAGAAAGUCAAUAUAAACAUUGGCAACAGAUACAACACAAACACAUGCACUUUUUUUGUGUCAUCUUCUCUGAUUGUCAUUUUUGAUCAAAAUAAACUUUCCCUCCUCCACAAUGUCUUUCCUCUCAAUGGUCUCUCUCUCUCUCUCUCUCUCUCUCUCUCUCUCUCUCUCUGUCACAUGGAUCUUUACAGCACCAGUUAAAGGAGCCUACUAAUUCACUUUCAACAACUACAAGAGAAAUGGAACAGCUAUUGCCAAUGGAUAGGAUCACAACUCCAGCGAUGACAUGGUGAGCACCGUGUCCUUGGAGGUCGGGAAUCGGGUCUGGGUGACCCUCAUCGACAGCACUCCCAUUGGGGGUGAGGAACUGAUCACCACCUUCAAUGGCUUUCUGCUCUUCCCCAUGUGAGGAGAGAGCAGGGCCCGCAUUCAUAAAGCAUCUGAGUAGGAGUACUGAUCUAGGGUCAGUUUUCCUUUUUUUUAAAGAACAUAAUGAAUCAAGGCCCUGGUGUGUAGAAACAAUCCAGUGUAGAGAACCUUACAUAUGUGUCUGUACAGCCAGUGUUAGAAAUGUCAACUUUAAAUAUUUUAGAUUCUUCGAAGGAGCCACCCUUUGCCUUGAUGACAGCUUUGCACACUCUUGGCAUUCUCUCAACCAACCUGGAAUGCUUUUCCAACCGUCUUGAAAGAGUUCCCACAUAUGCCUUCACUCUGCCGUCCAACACAUCUCAAACCAUCUCAGUUGAAAAACAAAUGAUAGUACAACUAAGCGCAAACCAGAUGGGAUGGCGUAUCGCUGCAGAAUGCUGUGGUAGCCAUGCUGGUUAAGUGUGCCUUGAAUUCUACGAAAAUCACCAACAGUGUCACCAGCAAAGCACCCCCACAUCAUCACACCUCCUCCUUCAUGCUUCACGGUGGGAACCACACAUGCUGAGAUCAUCUGUUCACCUACUCUGCGUCUCACAAAGACAAAUUGGUUGGUAACAAAAAAGUCAAAUUGUCAAUAGUCCAAAGGACAGAUUUCCACCGGUCUAAUGUCCAUUGCUUGUGUUUCUUGGCUCAAGCAAGUCUCUUCUUAUUAUUGGUGUCCUUUAGUAGUAGUCUCGUUGCAGCAAUUUGACCAUGAAGGCCUGAUUCACGUAGUCUCCUCCGAACAGUUGAUGUUGAGAUGUGUCUGUUACUUGAGCUCGGUGAAGCAUUUAUUUUUGCUGCAAUUUCUGAGUCUGGUAAUUCUAAUUAAUUUAGCCUCUGCAGAAGAGGUAACUCUGGGUCUUCCUUUCCUGUGGCGGUCCUCAUGAAAGCCAGUUUCAUCGUAGCGCACUUGAAGAAACGUUCACAUUUUCCGGAUUGACUGACAUUCAUGUCGUAAAAUAAUGAUGGACUGUUUCUCUUUGCUUAUUUAGCUGUUCUUGCCGUAAUAUGGACUUGGUAUUUUACCAAAUAGGGCUAUCUUCUCUAUACCACAACACAACUUUUAACAAGGCACACCUGUUAAUUGAAAUGAAUUCCAGGUGACUACCCCAUGAAGCUGGUUGAGAGAAUGCCAAGCGUGUGCAAAGCUGUCAUCAAUGCAUAGGGUGGCUCGUUUGAAGA
Molecule: long non-coding RNA, 4667 nt
Organism: Salvelinus fontinalis (brook trout)
Lineage: Eukaryota; Metazoa; Chordata; Actinopteri; Salmoniformes; Salmonidae
Exons: 3
Source: RefSeq, a predicted model, not a curated record